Small nuclear RNA from Bactrocera neohumeralis, 193 nucleotides. RefSeq annotates it as U2 spliceosomal RNA. The transcript has a single exon. NCBI's taxonomy places the organism in Eukaryota, Metazoa, Arthropoda, Insecta, Diptera, Tephritidae. The record is from RefSeq and is a predicted model, not a curated record.
AUCGCUUCUCGGCCUUAUGGCUAAGCUCAAAGUGUAGUAUUUGUUCUUAUCAGCUUAACAUCUGAUAGAUCCUCCAUCGGAGGACAUCAAAUGUUAAACUGAUUUUUGGAAAUCGAUGUAGUGUUUUAGGGGCUUGCUCCACCUCCAUCUAGUGAUGAGCGAAGUAGCGAUUUUUAGUUUCAGUGAAAAGAGU